AGCUUUGCGCAGUGGCAGUAUCGUAGCCAAUGAGGUUUAUCUGAGGUGCAAUUAUUGCUAAUUGAAAACUUUUCCCAAAAAAUAUCUAGAGACAAAUGAAAACAUACUAUACCAACUCAUAUG
Molecule: small nuclear RNA, 123 nt
Organism: Equus asinus (donkey)
Lineage: Eukaryota; Metazoa; Chordata; Mammalia; Perissodactyla; Equidae
Gene: U4
Rfam family: U4 spliceosomal RNA
About the family: U4 small nuclear RNA (U4 snRNA) is a component of the major U2-dependent spliceosome. The structure of U4 snRNA from yeast and human has been reported.
Source: Ensembl